UUGCGUUCGAGUGACCAUAGCUGUUGGCCGGAAGUUGUGCUUUCGUUGCUCGUCGUGUACGAGUAUCGUUUCACCUGUGAACACCGCAAGACCACGAUCGCGUUACUCGAGUCAUAUAUUGGUCACUGGUUAUACGUACUAGGUUCAGCUUACCAAUAAACUACUCACGGGGAGCAUUGUUUUAAAUUUUCAUAAUGUUGACGAAUUUUGUAAAAAUUUGAUUUUCAAAUACAUAAUAUUAUGUGAAAAGAAAAAAGUAGCCAAGUGAAUUCCACUCGGCUGAACGUUAGGUAUCAAUAAUAGCUAGUGAGUCACUAUAUUAUAAAUGUAUUAAAUUUUAAUUAAAUUAUGAUACAUUGCUACGUGCUUUGAUAUCUUAUGACCUAUAUUAUCAGGGCCAGAUUUAGAGGAGAGCUGGGUGGGCUGCAGUAAAAGGGGGUUAGGUUAGGCACAUUUCAGACGUGAUCCACCAGAGUUAGAACGAGCACCUUCACGUCACCCAGAUCAAUAGUUUUGUCAUUUGGACUUAGAAUAUUUUCACAAGUUUAAUUAAAUUAAUUAAUUGGACUAAGAAUAAUUUUUAAAUAAAAACACUUAGAAUAAU
Aphis gossypii (cotton aphid) is the source of this 604-nucleotide long non-coding RNA. RefSeq lists it as uncharacterized. The transcript has 2 exons. The record is from RefSeq and is a predicted model, not a curated record. Lineage: Eukaryota; Metazoa; Arthropoda; Insecta; Hemiptera; Aphididae.